RNAcentral lists this ribosomal RNA (253 nucleotides) under uncultured bacterium. RNAcentral's name for it is "partial 16S ribosomal RNA". It matches the Rfam family "Bacterial small subunit ribosomal RNA", at positions 524 to 776 of the family's 1533-position model. The record is from RNAcentral.
UACGUAGGGUGCAAGCGUUGUCCGGAAUUAUUGGGCGUAAAGAGCUCGUAGGCGGUUUGUCGCGUCGGCUGUGAAAACUCGGGGCUCAACCCCGAGCCUGCAGUCGAUACGGGCAAACUAGAGUGUGGUAGGGGAGACUGGAAUUCCUGGUGUAGCGGUAAAAUGCGCAGAUAUCAGGAGGAACACCGGUGGCGAAGGCGGGUCUCUGGGCCGUAACUGACGCUGAGGAGCGAAAGCGUGGGGAGCGAACAGG